This is a long non-coding RNA of Theobroma cacao (cacao), 789 nucleotides long. RefSeq lists it as uncharacterized. Lineage: Eukaryota; Viridiplantae; Streptophyta; Magnoliopsida; Malvales; Malvaceae. The record is from RefSeq and is a predicted model, not a curated record.
CAAGAUUUCUUGUUUGUCAAGUAAAUGUUUGAUGAACAAUAGUAUAAAUACCCCGAGGCAUCCUCAUUGUUGACGGCAACAUGGAAUACAACCUUCUGAUAAAGGCUGCACUGCAAGGGUGCACAAAUCUUCAGCUUCAUGGUGGAUUCAAUAAUCCUAAUAGUACUUAUCGCAUUAAGGUAAAAUGCAAAAGGUGCCAAGAGGAAAAUGUCAUUGAAAUGAGCUUGGGCCAUGUUCCAACUUCUUCAAGCACUAGCAGAAAAACCAACUCCUAGCAAGAGUCCAGUUCACUUUGAUGGCCAGUGUAACAUCAAAAGCUGUGCACAAAAGAUUUGGGCGCAAAUGAUUCCUGGAUGUGGUGCACCCUAUGCAGAAACUCCAAGGUGGAAUACAAAGAAAUUAUGAAAUUUAAAUUUGGAGGAGCUAAGCCUGUAGGGUUUAUUUUUGGUGGAGGCUGGGAGUUUGAAUCUCUGCACAGGCUGGCUACUUAUAAGGGCUACACGUUGGAUGACUAUGUUCAAAAGGGCAAGAACACAAGCGAAGAACAAAGUGAUGAAUUAUGCAGCCUGAUUGAUGACAUAGUUUUGGAGCCUAAGAUUUUAUAUGUUAAUGCUAAAUUUGAGAAGUGCUAGCAGCCAAAGUGAUUAUAGGAUUUCUGCUUUUAUUUGUGUUUAAUACCUAGUUGGGUUGUAAUAAAAGAUUUGGGACUAGGCUGUACAUAGAAAAGUCUAUUAAAUAAGAUCAUUUGUACAUAUAAUUGGGGUGUAAUAAAUUUUUUUUAACAUUAAA